RNAcentral lists this long non-coding RNA (983 nucleotides) under Olea europaea subsp. europaea. Lineage: Eukaryota; Viridiplantae; Streptophyta; Magnoliopsida; Lamiales; Oleaceae. The record is from RNAcentral.
UUUUUUUUUUGGGGAAAUGUACUAGUAUUAUUGGUAAACCCUCACUUGUGGUGGAGGAAGACCGUUGUUACUAUCUAUUACAAAAAGUGAAAAGAGGGCAAAUUACAUUUAUCUAAGCAAAUACAACCAAUUGUAGAAACUAGGAAACUAGAGAUUGAUUCUAAAAAUUUGAAUGACCUUGAGAUCCAAUAGGUGCUAAAGAAUCAGCCGCUUGAUUUGCUUUGAGAUAAAUAUGUGAUAUAUUAAUAGAUAUAACCUGAGCAAACUCUAAUAUAUCCUCCCAAAUAAGUCGAAUAGCCCAAGGUACAGUGACAUGAUGAUGAAACCAAUGAACUUGCACACUAGAAUCCAUUUCUAUAGCAAUCCUCUCUAUGCCAAGGACAUAACAUAUUUGAAGGCCUAUCUUAAGAGCUGAUACCUCCACUAAAGUGUUAGUACCAACCCCAAGAGAGUGAUAGAACCCAAAAAUUACCUUUCCGUGCCAAUCCCGAAGCAAACCACCACAACCAGUCGGGCCUAGAUUUCCAGCGCUAGCACCAUCAAUAUUUAGUUUAUAAAAACCAUAUUGUGGUCGGAACCAUCUAACAAGAAAUGGAGCUUUGACUCGUAUUGGCAACACAGAGAUGUGUAGCUUCUGUGAAUAAGUAAUAGAGCGAGACAAUUUCUUUGGUUUUAGCAUAUCGUUCAAUUCUUGUAGCCAAUUUUUUACUUUAGCACAAACUCUGUGCAAGCUUGCGACCUCAUCCUUAAACCGUGCAGAAUUUCUGGCCAACCAAAGCUCCUAGGAAAGAUGAGAAUUGAAGGAUCAAUCGAAAUCUUCCAUACAAAUAUUAGUCACACCAGUACCCUGUCGACAACUAAAAUUCAUUAUGCCAUAUAUUAAAAAUGUGAUCGCAUCAUUGCUCAUCCUGAAUUGCCAAAGAAAACACCUGAAUUUACAAAAGUUAGCUUCACUCGGGACAUGAUUACAUAUUCAUUGCAAU